RNAcentral lists this ribosomal RNA (253 nucleotides) under uncultured bacterium. RNAcentral's name for it is "partial 16S ribosomal RNA". It matches the Rfam family "Bacterial small subunit ribosomal RNA", at positions 524 to 776 of the family's 1533-position model. The record is from RNAcentral.
UACGGAGGGUGCAAGCGUUAUCCGGAUUCACUGGGUUUAAAGGGUGCGCAGGCGGAUUAGUAAGUCAGUGGUGAAAGCCUUAAGCUUAACUUGGGAACUGCCAUUGAUACUACUAGUCUUGAAUGUUGUUGAGGUUUGCGGAAUGGGUCAUGUAGCGGUGAAAUGCAUAGAUAUGACCCGGAACACCUAUUGCGAAGGCAGCAGGCUAAACAAAUAUUGACGCUGAGGCUCGAAAGCGUGGGGAUCAAACAGG